This 215-nucleotide non-coding RNA is filed under the name Halobacillus sp. Its description in RNAcentral is "T-box sequence". It matches the Rfam family "T-box leader". Rfam says of the family: Uncharged tRNA acts as the effector for transcription antitermination of genes in the T-box leader family. T-boxes are found upstream of many aminoacyl-tRNA synthetase genes and some amino acid biosynthetic genes usually in Gram-positive bacteria. The record is from RNAcentral. Lineage: Bacteria; Bacillati; Bacillota; Bacilli; Caryophanales; Bacillaceae.
UACGAAACGUUGAUGAGGAGAAGUAAAGGGCUGUCUGCUUACCCAGAGAGAAUCACCUAGGCUGGAAGUGAUUUUGGGCGGCACCCUGGAAAUGCACCUCGGAGUCUCCGGUUGAAAAAAAGUAGGCCGGAGCGGUUCCCUUCCGUUAUCGAGGAUGAAGUGGGGGAAAUUAUUUUCCCCAAGCAGAGUGGAACCACGCGGGAAGCGUCUCUGUG